RNAcentral lists this ribosomal RNA (274 nucleotides) under uncultured bacterium. RNAcentral's name for it is "partial 16S ribosomal RNA". It matches the Rfam family "Bacterial small subunit ribosomal RNA", at positions 523 to 796 of the family's 1533-position model. The record is from RNAcentral.
AUACGGAGGGUGCGAGCGUUAAUCGGAAUUACUGGGCGUAAAGCGUACGUAGGCGGUUGGUUAAGUUAGAUGUGAAAGCCCCGGGCUUAACCUGGGAACUGCAUUUAAAACUGGCGAACUAGAGUUGAGUAGAGGGGAGUGGAAUUUCAGGUGUAGCGGUGAAAUGCGUAGAGAUCUGAAGGAACACCAGUAGCGAAGGCGACUCCCUGGACUCGAACUGACGCUGAGGUACGAAAGCGUGGGUAGCAAACGGGAUUAGAAACCCUAGUAGUCC